CAGCAGCCACGGGAAUACAGAGGGUGCAAGCGUUAAUCGGAAUUACUGGGCGUAAAGCGCGCGUAGGUGGUUUGUUAAGUUGGAUGUGAAAUCCCCGGGCUCAACCUGGGAACUGCAUCCAAAACUGGCAAGCUAGAGUAUGGUAGAGGGUGGUGGAAUUUCCUGUGUAGCGGUGAAAUGCGUAGAUAUAGGAAGGAACACCAGUGGCGAAGGCGACCACCUGGACUGAUACUGACACUGAGGUGCGAAAGCGUGGGGAGCAAACAGGAUUAGAUACCCGGGUAGUCCCUGUCUCUUAUAC
This 301-nucleotide ribosomal RNA is filed under the name uncultured bacterium. Its description in RNAcentral is "partial 16S ribosomal RNA". It matches the Rfam family "Bacterial small subunit ribosomal RNA", at positions 509 to 807 of the family's 1533-position model. The record is from RNAcentral.